Molecule: non-coding RNA, 99 nt
Organism: Podospora fimiseda
Lineage: Eukaryota; Fungi; Ascomycota; Sordariomycetes; Sordariales; Podosporaceae
Source: the annotation of a GenBank genome assembly
GUCUCCGUAGCCGAAUGGUUGGCGUUUGUUGUCUUAAGGAUUUCCGGCCGUGAAGUUGCGAGGCAGCGAAAGAUGCCGGUUCGAAUCCGGUCGGGGGCA